UGGCGAAGGCGGCCCCCUGGACAAGACUGACGCUCAGGUGCGAAGCGUGGGGAGCAAACAGGAUUAGAUACCUGGUAGUCACGCUGUAAACGAUGUCGAUUUGGAGGUUGUUCCCUUGAGGAGUGGCUUCCGGAGCUAACGUGUUAAAUCGACCGCUGGGGAGUACGGCCGCAAGGUUAAAACUCAAAUGAAUUGACGGGGGCCCGCACAAGCGGUGGAGCAUGUGGUUUAAUUCGAUGCAACGCGAAGAACCUUACCUACUCUUGACAUCCAGAGAAUUUAGCAGAGAUGCUUUAGUGCCUUCGGGAACUCUGAGACAGGUGCUGCAUGGCUGUCGUCAGCUCGUGUUGUGAAAUGUUGGGUUAAGUCCCGCAACGAGCGCAACCCUUAUCCUUUGUUGCCAGCACAUUAUGGUGGGAACUCAAAGGAGACUGCCGGUGAUAAACCGGAGGAAGGUGGGGAUGACGUCAAGUCAUCAUGGCCCUUACGAGUAGGGCUACACACGUGCUACAAUGGCGUAUACAAAGAGAAGCGACCUCGCGAGAGCAAGCGGAACUCAUAAAGUACGUCGUAGUCCGGAUUGGAGUCUGCAACUCGACUCCAUGAAGUCGGAAUUGCUAGUAAUCGUAGAUCAGAAUGCUACGGUGAAUACGUUCCCGGGCCUUGUACACACCGCCCGUCACACCAUGGGAGUGGGUUGCAAAAGAAGUAGGUAGCUUAACCUUCGGGAGGGCGCUUACCACUUUGUGAUUCAUGACUGGGGUGAAGUCGUAACAAGGUAACCA
Molecule: ribosomal RNA, 785 nt
Filed under: uncultured Providencia sp.
Lineage: Bacteria; Pseudomonadati; Pseudomonadota; Gammaproteobacteria; Enterobacterales; Morganellaceae
Description: bacterial SSU rRNA
Rfam family: Bacterial small subunit ribosomal RNA
Source: RNAcentral